UAGCAAUACGGCAGCGGCAGACGGGAGAGUAACACGUGGGAACGCGCCCUUCGGUUCGGGAUAACCCAGGGAAACUUGGGCUAAUACCGGAUACGCCCUUACGGGGAAAGAUUUAUUGCCGAAGGAACGGCCCGCGUCCGAUUAGCUAGUUGGUGAGGUAACGGCUCACCAAGGCGACGAUCGGUAGCUGGUCUGAGAGGAUGACCAGCCUCACUGGGACUGAGACACGGCCCAGACUCCUACGGGAGGCAGCAGUGGGGAAUUGUUCGCAAUGGGCGCAAGCCUGAUCCAGCCAUGCCGCGUGGGUGAUGAAGGCCCUAGGG
Molecule: ribosomal RNA, 323 nt
Filed under: uncultured bacterium
Lineage: Bacteria
Description: bacterial SSU rRNA
Rfam family: Bacterial small subunit ribosomal RNA
Source: RNAcentral